This 421-nucleotide ribosomal RNA is filed under the name uncultured bacterium. RNAcentral's name for it is "partial 16S ribosomal RNA". It matches the Rfam family "Bacterial small subunit ribosomal RNA", at positions 360 to 774 of the family's 1533-position model. The record is from RNAcentral.
AAUUUUGGACAAUGGGGGAAACCCUGAUCCAGCCAUCCCGCGUGUAUGAUGAAUGCCUUCGGGUUGUAAAUUACUUUUGGCAGAGAAGAAAAGGUAUCCCCUAAUACGAGAUACUGCUGACGGUAUCUGCAUAAUAAGUACCGGCUAACGAUGACCCAGCAGCCGCGGUAACACGUAGGGUGCAAGCGUUAAUCGGAAUUUCCGGGCGUAAAGCGUGUGUAGGCGGUUCGGAAAGAAAGAUGUGAACUCCCAGGGCUCAACCUUGGAACUGCAUUUUUAACUGCCGAGCUAGAGUAUGUCAGAGGGGGGUAGAAUUCCACGUGUAGCAGUGAAAUGCGUAGAUAUGUGGAGGAAUACCGAUGGCGAAGGCAGCCCCUGGGAUAAUACUGACGCUCAGACACGAAAGCGUGGGGAGCAAACA